This 37-nucleotide ribosomal RNA is filed under the name Colletotrichum acutatum. RNAcentral describes it as "partial 28S ribosomal RNA". RNAcentral also lists the same sequence under 3 other names. The record is from RNAcentral. Lineage: Eukaryota; Fungi; Ascomycota; Sordariomycetes; Glomerellales; Glomerellaceae.
GGUUGACCUCGGAUCAGGUAGGAAUACCCGCUGAACU